This 250-nucleotide ribosomal RNA is filed under the name uncultured bacterium. Its description in RNAcentral is "partial 16S ribosomal RNA". It matches the Rfam family "Bacterial small subunit ribosomal RNA", at positions 524 to 773 of the family's 1533-position model. The record is from RNAcentral.
UACGGAGGUGGCAAGCGUUACUCGGAAUUAUUGGGUGUAAAGGGCAAGUAGGUGGCUUGGUAAGUGAGAGGUGAAAUACUCCGGCUCAAUCGGAGAACUGCCUUUCAUACUGCCUUGCUUGAGUAUGACAGGGGGAAGUGGAAUUCCAGGUGUAAGGGUGAAAUCUGUAGAUAUCUGGAAGAACACCAGCGGCGAAGGCGACUUCCUGGGUCAUUACUGACACUGAAUUGCGAAAGCUAGGGGAGCAAAC